UGUUAAAAUUUUCAUCUAUUUGUAAUGUUAAAAACUGGUGUGACUAACGGAAUAACCAAAUCAUAACAUGUGACGUGCCAUUGUACCUCAAACUUAUGUAUAUGAAUCAAUUUUUAAUAAUAGAAAAAGAUUAAAAAUUUAAUA
Gossypium hirsutum (cotton) is the source of this 144-nucleotide non-coding RNA. NCBI's taxonomy places the organism in Eukaryota, Viridiplantae, Streptophyta, Magnoliopsida, Malvales, Malvaceae. The record is from Rfam.